Molecule: long non-coding RNA, 6148 nt
Filed under: Lupinus angustifolius (narrow-leaved blue lupine)
Lineage: Eukaryota; Viridiplantae; Streptophyta; Magnoliopsida; Fabales; Fabaceae
Description: long non-coding RNA (LANG_LNC002514)
Source: RNAcentral
UAAUAAUGGUGAAAUUGGAAAUGGGUUUGUGGCUGAUGGGUCUUCUUCGGUUUGGCGAGAGUUAAAGUUGGAACCUUUUGUUGGCAGAGACCGUAAUAGUAAUACCCAUGAGGUUAAUUCUGAUGAUGGUGGAAAUGGGUCUAUUCCUGAGAGAUCAUUGGUUGGGAUUAACAAAGAAAAAUGUGGUCUUUCACCUGGGGUUGCAGUUAUGGCUAGGACACACAUGCCUGUGACAAAAGGGUUUAUGUUGAAUUUGAGAUGGGGUUUGAAUUUUCCUGGGAAUUCGGGGCUGAAAAUGCCCUAUUUGACUGUGAACAAGAUUGGGUUAGAGAGGGUUUCUGAGGAAGUGAAACAGAAUGUGGAUAAGCAGAGAUUGGACGCUUCUGGCACCGAUUUGCAGCUGCUCAAGGGUAUGUGUUCUUGGAUGAAAAGAGAUUUGGAGAUUGUGGAAAAGGAAAAUAGGGAGAUGAAACGAGUAUUGGAGGAUAUGAAAAUGGGAGUUUCAACCAGGAAUCACAGUCAUGAGGGAAGGAAAUUAUCUCAGCAUUCGGGUGAAAGCUCUAGCAAGUUUGAGCAUUGGAGAAGCAAUAAGAGUGGCAGAGAAGAGAAUGAACAUAGACAGCAUAAAGGUGAAUGCUCUAGCGAGUUUGAUAGUUGGAGAAGCAAGAAGAGUGGCAGAGAAGAGAAUGGGCAAAAACAACCAAACAAGUCCCAAAUUCUAGCAAGUGAUGUGGAAUCUGAAUUGCAGAAAGCCAUAAUGGCUGCUUCUUCUUAGCAUUACCAAGGUCAUUUACACUUUUAAGUUUUAAUGCUUUCUAAGUUUGUCUUCCUCGCAAUGUAUAUAGAAAUGUGAGCUAUGUUUCCUAUUUGCUUUUAACGACAAGUGGUCGAUUAUAAUCAAGAUCAUUUGUGUGUAUAAUAAAGGAAAAGAGGAAUGUUGUUACUUUUGUAAUUAUAGUUUGCACUGACUUUAAGUGCAGCGUUCUGUAUUUUUGCAUCUGGAUAAAUAUUUAACUGUCUGCAAUUAGGUGACAAUGAUUGGCAGAGACAUCUGUACUUCUUCCAUAUCCAAUCCAAUGCAAUUAGAUGUUUGAAUCACCUAUUUUCGGGUUUUUUAUUUCAAUGAAGAAUUUGGUAGAAGUAAAUUAUGUUAUUGCACUUCAUAAUUGUUAUGUUGGCAUUAGUCUUUAUUGAGCAAUUCUUACUAGUAAUAAAGAGCUUGGCAAUUACUAGUAGUCUAAAAUUUUAACAACCAUAAUAUUAAACCCGACUCUUGUGUGAUUUGUGCUAUUUCCUCACCCUUUCAGUGUCUGUCUAGCACUUGGGCUUCUAAAUCCCCUACCAUUUUCUCAUUUUCUAUCCCAUUUCUCCAUGCCUCUGAAAAUGCAUGUGAAUUCCAUUUUCUUCAAGCUGGACGCUUGAAAAACUUGUUUGCGUCUUGAAUUGAUAAUGUAUUUCCCUAUAUACCCCUAUACAUAUUUAAGUCGCACGCCACAAGAUGCCUUUUGUUUUUGUAAAAAUAGGAGGGUGAUAGGAGCUGAGUCAGAUGAGUAGGGACAAUUAAGAAUUAAUAGGAUUUUUUGUCGAAAUGCACUUUCCUUCCUGAUUCUGAAUCAGAGUGAUUGCAGAUUCAAAAGGAUAGGUACAAACAGGAGUGUCCAUAAUAGGAACUUCUCCCAAAAGAAUUGUGGCUCUACCUCCCAAUUUUACUCCAAACCACUUCGAUCUCCUUUCUUCUUCAUAGUCAGAAACGGUUCCUCUAAAGUGAGUUUGAUUGUAAAGUAAGUUUGUACGCCCUUGAUUGGUUAAAGUGUAUUGGAAUUUUAGCACACUAGCUAACUAAGAGCGAACACCCCUUUACUUGCUCACUUUAGAGGAGAGCCUUAUCCUUCAUAGUUAUACCCUCUUAGUCUUACUCCUUCCUAUACACUUGGAGUUUCUAAUUAAAUGACACUCCAAUUGUAAUAUGACAACCAACUAAUUCCUGCCUCCGUUAUGACAGCUGUUAACAACAUCAACUGUUUUCAGUUCUAAUCCCCUAUUGCCCAUCAUUUUCUUCUCAUUCCGAAUCAGUUUUACUGAGUUCUCGCUCCUUAUUUUGUUUCUCGCAUUUUGGAAUUUUCAGUUUUGGAAUUUUCAGUUUUGUAAUAUCUGUUCAGGAAGCUGUUGGUAGAACUGUUAAUGUGCUUUUAAUAGGGAUUACACUCCAUCCCACUAGUUAUAUUCUUCCAAACCGUAAUUUGUAUGUAUCAAUCAAUAAAUUGUCACAAUGCAUCUUUCACAAAAUUCCGUCGCAUCCCUGGUCUAGCUCUGUAUAUUCAUGGAUGAUUCUUAGAAAUUUUAUUUACAAAGUUACUUUGCGUUCACUUAUCCAAAACGAGUGAGAGAAGUAUGAUGCUGAGGCUAUGAUGAAGAUAUACCUGUGCCAGAGGCGAGCCUAUGUUGAGCUCGUCAUUCAUCGUCUCAUCAUUUUCGUUCUUUAUUUUACUGUUGUUUAUUUUUUUUAAACCAUUAAUGUAGCGCCGAGCAUGGUUAAAUAGCAGUAGGGCUUUAUUCAAAAAGGAAACGGCGAGGUGAUGUUAACAAUUCAUAUGUCUGUCAAUAAUUUCUUUUCAGUAGCUUAUUUUAUUCUCUUUUCCUUAUUCCUUUUCAAUAAUUAUAGUUGAGUUUUUUAAGGUAAAAUGCUUGAUGUUGGAUUAUUGUCGCUUGUAUGGAAAAGAAUAAUGAUAUUUUUAACUUAUGUGGUCGUUUUUAUGUCCAUUUAAUGUUUACAAGUAGCAUUAUUUUACCAGAAUUGAGCCUUGAACUGAAAUUUUUAUCGUUCCGGUUAUAGAUAAUUGUAUAUUCAACACCAAAGCAAUGAAUUUAUGUCUGGAAUAAGUUUCUAUUAUGAUCCUCUUGCAACACAUAACAUCAGGCGUUGACAAACCUACAAUUCCUCCUAAUUUCUCCUUCAUUUCCUGUUAGUACAUUAAUAUUUCCCAUCUUAAUCAUAGAUUUAGCAAAUGAAGCAAAGAAAACUUUUUGAUUGGAGGCAUAAGCCCACACCUGUUUUGUGAUUGUUCCAUCAAAAUCCUGGCUGGUCAAUACAUUAUCAGAACCUAACAAUCCCUUUCCUUCCAGUAUGUUUAUAAAGUAGUGGUUAUCAAACCUCUUUGGGGUUUCAAAAUCCAAUGGUGCAAACUUGUUAUCCCUUCCACUAACAGGGCAUAUGGACUGUAGGAUUCUUCUGAAGGUUGUGUAUCUCUUGUAGCGAUCAUAGCCAUAGUGAUAUUCUUGUUUCGGUUCAUAGAUCCGCUGUCUGAAGCUUAGACAUCUUGCUCUUCCAAUGGUAUGGCUACCUGUUUUUUUGUCAAGUAGCAACUCUAUUUCAUUAGGGGCUUCAUCUUCUUUUUUUUGUCUUGUGCAUUGAAUCGACAAUUCUAUAUACACCUAAAAACCAUUGCUCACGGGCAGAUGAAUGAUUCACUUGUGAUGAUGAAUGAUUCAUUGAUCCUGGCAUGAGCAACGACUUGGGUGUUAAUAGAAUUGUCCUUUUUGAAUCAAUACAUGAUAAUUAAUAAAUAUAUACCGGAUAGUGCGACCAUGUCUUCUAUUUCUAGGCCAUGUUGCUUAAAGUUGUCAAUGAGAACCUCUAAGGAGGAAUUUGGUGCAGGAAUGAACUGGUUAGCUCCACUGAAGCUUGACAUGAGGGAGUCUUUCCUCCCCAGCCACACAUCCCAUCCUGGUCCCCCUCUCUUCUCAACAAACAAUACCAAUUCAACAAUGAGAUAUAGUUAUGUAUUCUAUGUGUAAUAUAUUAUACAGUAAAAACAUAACAUAGGUCUGCAGAAUAUAAUUCUACAUGUAAAAUUAAAAACAUGGGAAUGUUAUUGAUUUUUUAUUUUAUUAUCAUGAGUCAUGACCCUCUACCCAAUGUAUGGAAUCCAAUUCAACAAGAUGUUAGAGAUGGUGCAAGUAGAAAGAGAAAAACAUAGGUGUGUAUUGUACCAGUUCAACUGCAUCACGAGCAGCCAUGGCAAGGAUAUCAGCACAUGAAACUGUGACAGGACACUCCUCUUCCAACAAAUACUUUAUCUUGUCAAUGACCUCAAAUCCACGUAAAGAGUUCAGAUUUGGUCCUGCUUCCUUUUCACUCUGCAUGCCCUCAACACUAUCCAAUAGUACUGAUGCGUCGCAACCCUUAUGUUCAACAAUACAAGACAUAAUAAAUAUAUAAUUGUUGUUUUGAAAUUCUACCCAUUUCAUAAAUCACUUAAUUUAUCUAUUUGCACAAUAGCAUAACACAGGAAGAAUGGUAUUGUUACCAUGACAAAGCAGUCGUGAAAGUGUAAGCGAAGUAGCGAGGCCGCCAAACCAGGAUCUUUGUAAAGUGCUACCUCUACGUUAUGUCUCACAUUACUGUGGAUUGGUAAAGAAAAGUUCUGCAUGAGACCACUUACAAAAAAAAGAGACAACAUAAACUACCAUUUAAGAAACUUACAAAAUACAGUUAAGGGUGCCAACAAUUCUGCAGUAGUAAUACUACAUGGGAAGAUUCGUUGCCUUGAUCAGAGGAAUUAACAAGCAAAACAUAAAUGUUAGAUACAUAGAAUCAAAUUUUAAAGAGUCCAACUAGGAAUAUGCUAAAAUAGAAUGAACAUUCCGAUUCGAAAGUUUGGCUCUGUUAGCCAUUCAUUUGAUUCCAUCAAGUUCCACCAUUGGUGUUCAUCAUCUGGCACAAACGAUAGACCUGUUUUGUCUGUUUUUCAUUCAUCAAGUAGUCUCACAUUAAUGAAAACCAAUUUGACUUUAGGUUGGAAAGGUCAACCAUGGAAGCUAUCAAAAGACCAAAGAGACAUACACAUGACUUUCAUUUAUUCAGAAAAAGGCAUAUGAUGAAGUCCAUAUAGAUUUCUUGAUGUUAUAGAGAAAAGUUUGGAUUGUCUGCAUUCAGAAGAUUAAAAGUCAAUAUUGAACCCCUAUUUACUAAGCUUAUAUAAUGUAUGUUUUCUACAAAUAAUAUUGUCAUUUUAUAAGUGGAAGUUGAAGUAAUAGAGGAAAGAGAAAAGUUUGAGAGAUACACUUAGAUUAAUUUGAAGCCUUCAUUUUCUCUUAAUUAUAUCCUAAACUUGAGUCUAAAAUAACAUUCUCCUAAAACUCAACUGGGGUGAGGCGCAUGUCUUAUCUACUAGGCAGGGAAAGACAUGAAAUUGUCAAAGUUGGAGCCACCUCCCAAUAAUUUGGCCACACGUCAAGUCCUACGUUGCCUUUCAUUACUAAGCCGUUAAAAAGUACUCAUCCAUGUGUUUAUAUUUGUAUGGUAGGUCGGUUAUGUGGCUCCGAAUCUAAUGGUUCAUUGGUCUUCACCAUUCCUUCUACUCCCAACACCUAAUGCUACAAUCCCAUACCCCAUAGCAUAGCCAUUCAUUCAUUCAAACAACAUGAAGCUAUCACUCAAGUUUAACCAUGGAGAUGAAGAUAGUACUCAAAUUAUGUCUGCAAAGGUACCCAUUUCCAUAUUCAACUACCCUUUCAUUUCUGCCAUCACAUCCACUACCACAACUACUAAUUCUCCUUCUGAUUUCUCUUUCUCACUUUCCACCAAUUUCCCUUCUGCUCCUUCCUUCAAGCUCUCUUACUCUCCUACCUCAACCUCCUCUCUCCCUUUCUCUCUUUCCCUUAAAUCUGGUUUAGGUUUAUUUGGAUCCCCUCGCCAAUCCCCUCUUCUCUUCUCUGUUAAUUUCUCUCUUUCACCUUCUUCCUACAAUCCCGUUCCCACUUUCUCUCUCCAUUUCAAACCCCAAUUUGGUCACUUUUCUCUUAAUAAAACUGUUUUAUCAAACCCCGACACUCUCCCAGACCCAAAAUCGUUUCCUAUUGAUAAUAAUAAUAAUAAUGGUGAAAUUGGAAAUGGGUUUGUGGCUGAUGGGUCUUCUUCGGUUUGGCGAGAGUUAAAGUUGGAACCUUUUGUUGGCAGAGACCGUAAUAGUAAUACCCAUGAGGUUAAUUCUGAUGAUGGUGGAAAUGGGUCUAUUCCUGAGAGAUCAUUGGUUGGGAUUAACAAAGAAAAAUGUGGUCUUUCACCUGGGGUUGCAGUUAUGGCUAGGACACACAUGCCUGUGACAAAAGGGUUUAUGUUGAAUUUGAGAUGGGGUUUGAAUUUUCC